Molecule: ribosomal RNA, 445 nt
Filed under: uncultured bacterium
Lineage: Bacteria
Description: partial 16S ribosomal RNA
Rfam family: Bacterial small subunit ribosomal RNA
Source: RNAcentral
GUAGGGAAUAUUGGGCAAUGGAGGCAACUCUGACCCAGCCAUGCCGCGUGCAGGAUGACGGCCCUCUGGGUUGUAAACUGCUUUUAUACGGGAAGAAAAAAUACUACGUGUAGUAUACUGACGGUACCGUAAGAAUAAGGAUCGGCUAACUCCGUGCCAGCAGCCGCGGUAAUACGGAGGAUCCAAGCGUUGUCCGGAUUUAUUGGGUUUAAAGGGUGCGUAGGCGGAUCUUUAAGUCAGUGGUUAAAGCCUGCAGCUUAACUGUAGAAUUGCCAUAGAAACUGAAGAUCUUGAAUGUGGUUAAAGUAGGCGGAAUGUAUCAUGUAGCGGUGAAAUGCUUAGAUAUGAUACAGAACACCGAUAGCGAAGGCAGCUUGCUGAACCAUUAUUGACGCUGAGGCACGAAAGCGUGGGGAGCGAACAGGAUUAGAAACCCUGGUAGUCC